This 429-nucleotide ribosomal RNA is filed under the name uncultured bacterium. RNAcentral describes it as "bacterial SSU rRNA". It matches the Rfam family "Bacterial small subunit ribosomal RNA", at positions 957 to 1391 of the family's 1533-position model. The record is from RNAcentral.
GAACGCGAAGAACCUUACCAGGGCUUGACAUUUAGGUGAAGCGGCGGAAACGUCGUGGCCGAAAGGAGCCUAAACAGGUGGUGCAUGGCUGUCGUCAGCUCGUGUCGUGAGAUGUUAGGUUAAGUCCUGCAACGAGCGCAACCCUCGUCGUAUGUUGCCAGCGGUUAGGCCGGGCACCCAUACGAGACCGCCGGCGUCAAGCCGGAGGAAGGUGGGGACGACGCCAAGUCAUCAUGCCCCUUAUGUCCUGGGCUACACACGUGCUACAAUGGCCGGCACAAUGGGCUGCCAACCCGCGAGGGUGAGCGAAUCCCUAAAGCCGGUCCCAGUUCGGAUUGGAGGCUGCAACCCGCCUCCAUGAAGUCGGAGUUGCUAGUAAUCGCGGAUCAGCACGCCGCGGUGAAUGCGUUCCCGGGUCUUGUACACACC